This 824-nucleotide ribosomal RNA is filed under the name uncultured bacterium. RNAcentral describes it as "bacterial SSU rRNA". It matches the Rfam family "Bacterial small subunit ribosomal RNA", at positions 60 to 883 of the family's 1533-position model. The record is from RNAcentral.
AGUCGAACGCGCAGUUCGCUGUAGCAAUACAGUGGAUGGGCGCGUGGCGAACGGGUGCGUAACACGUGGAUAACCUUCCUUCAGGUGGGGAAUAACCCCGCGAAAGCGGGGCUAAUACCGCAUAACAUGACGAUGGCACAUGCUGUUGUCCUCAAAGCCGCAAGGCGCCAGAAGAGGGAUCCGCGGCCGAUUAGCUUGUUGGCGAGGUAAUGGCUCACCAAGGCUUUGAUCGGUAGCCGGUCUGAGAGGAUGAUCGGCCACACUGGAACUGAGACACGGUCCAGACUCCUACGGGAGGCAGCAGUGGGGAAUCUUGCGCAAUGGGCGAAAGCCUGACGCAGCAACGCCGCGUGGGGGAUGAAGCUUCUCGGAGUGUAAACCCCUUUCGACCCGGACGAAUGCCCGCAAGGGUUUGACGGUACGGGUAUAAGAAGCCCCGGCUAACUACGUGCCAGCAGCCGCGGUAAAACGUAGGGGGCCAGCGUUGCUCGGAAUUACUGGGCGUAAAGGGUCCGUAGGCGGUGUGGCAAGUCGGAAGUGAAAUCUCUGGGCUUAACUCAGAGGCUGCUUCCGAAACUGCUGUGCUCGAGUGCGAGAGAGGCGAGUGGAAUUGCGGGUGUAGCGGUGAAAUGCGUAGAUAUCCGCAGGAACAUCCGAGGCGAAAGCGGCUCGCUGGAUCGCAACUGACGCUGAGGGACGAAAGCUAGGGGAGCAAACAGGAUUAGAUACCCUGGUAGUCCUAGCCCUAAACCAUCAGACUUGGGGUUUGCCUGUACGGGGCAAGUCCCGUAGCUAACGCGUUAAGUCCUGCGCCUGGGGAGUAC